UGCAGCGCACAUGAACAUUUUUAAACAUAUUAAGUCGUGUAUUCUUUCUAUACGUGAAGUCAGCUGCAGGUUAUCUGGUGAAAGUGCGUGUUCUAUCUUUUUUCUUUGUGUUAUGGAUAGUUUUCUUCGACGAUUUGAUGCAUAAAAGUAGUCUGAACUUAACAGGCCUGUCCGGUCCAUCUGUCCACGCUGUUCCCGCAGUUUCAGUUCCCAAGGUGGAGUCAGCUGCAGAUCAUUUGAUGAAAAUUAGUUUUCUUUGUGUUAUCUUUUCUUCGACCUUUUGAUGCAUAAAACUAGUUUGAACUUCACAGGCCUAUUGAGUCCACGUUGUUCCUAUUGCAGUUCCUAAGGAUCUCUGCUGAGCAAGUUGAAAGUUACAGUUACAAAAAUUGGGACAACUUCCAGGUAUGUGCUGAAUUUCAGCGCAUUACCAACCAGAAUUUAACAAACACAUUUUACGCAGAGCUAGACCGCCACAGUUUUCGCCUGAUGACUUUAUAUCGACAGAGAGCAGCGAAGACUGGAAAAACUGCUGAUGCACUUUUAUGACUUAAAGGAUCAACAUGAUGUACACACAAGGCGAACAACAGCGCUCUGUGCACUUCCUGUGUAUCUGAGAGAAGACACCUCAAAAUUCUUUAAAAUAUGCACGAUUGAAGAUGAUUCAGAAGAGCCAGAUGUUGAUUCAUCAGU
Long non-coding RNA from Labeo rohita (rohu), 693 nucleotides. RefSeq lists it as uncharacterized. The record is from RefSeq and is a predicted model, not a curated record. The transcript is spliced from 6 exons. Lineage: Eukaryota; Metazoa; Chordata; Actinopteri; Cypriniformes; Cyprinidae.